RNAcentral lists this long non-coding RNA (1199 nucleotides) under Sorghum bicolor (sorghum). RNAcentral's name for it is "long non-coding RNA (SBIC_LNC000053)". Lineage: Eukaryota; Viridiplantae; Streptophyta; Magnoliopsida; Poales; Poaceae. The record is from RNAcentral.
UGGAGGUCAUUAACUUGAAAUUUCAUGUCUUGCUAUGUCUUCGGCAUGUUCAUUAUUCAGUUUGUACAUUUUUCACAUCUAGAGGAGUGUUGCACUCCUCUAGAAAGGAAAAAAAAAUUGAAAAUCAAAUUAUACAUGUAGCGACAAAAGCAAGAUCAUAUAUAUCAAACACAAUGCCUUUAUUAUAGCAUUGGAAAGGUAGGACACCAAAGAGCCAGGGAAGGUGUUGCAACAGUUGCCCCAUUCGGGAGAGUGCUUCUUGCACUGGGUUGAGCGAUCCCAGCCAUCCUCCCUGGGUAUCCCAAGUUGCUACCGAAGUUCGUCAAUCAAUCCCUGGAUGCUCUGGAUGCUCGAGCAGAGCAUUGUCCUGUGCACUAUGGAUGUUGCCCAUGUACAACACAGUGUCCACCGGCCCCUUGUUAGCCUCGUCAGUUAUGUCCAUGUAUAUCUACAUCCGACGCCUCUUUCUGGGACUAGGCUUCUACAAGCCAAUCUAUUAGUCAUCCAAACAAUAGAUUUUUUUUAAUUGUGGCCAAUUUCAAUACCAAAACACAAUUCAACUCCAUGUCCCUAUAACUCCACGCAGAUUGGACUAGCAGUAGGCACCCACACUACAAGGGGCACAUGAUCCCAAAAAAGACGUCCCAAACGAUCACGAGGUCAUCGUUGUCAAACAAACUCAAACUACACGACCAUGGAACGACAACCCACACCUUGGUACUCAGCUCUGCUCAUAAAUAUUUCAACCAUUCUGCACCUGUAAGGAUCUGCUACACUGACAUUUUGGAACUGCCUCGUUACAAAAUAGUAUAAGGCCGUGUUUAGUUCCCAAAAAUUUUGGAAAAUGGACACUGUAGCAUUUUCGUUUGUAUUUGACAAAUAUUGUCCAAUCAUGAACUAACUAGGCUCAAAAGAUUCGUCUCGUCAAUUUCGACCAAACUGUGCAAUUAGUUUUUAUUUUGGUCUAUAUUUAAUACUCCAUGCAUGCGUCUAAAGAUUCGAUGUGACGGGAAAUCUGAAAAAUUUUGCAAAAUUUUUUGGGAAGGAAACAAGGCCUAAGCUGUGGUACAGCCUAUCUCAUUGCAAAACAGUAGCAUAAGCUGCGCUACAGCCUACAGUGCCUUGCAAGCAAUGAAAGCCUCAACCUCUGUUUGAGUAAAACUUAGCUACAGCAACCAAAAUUCUACCGACAACCCAUC